This 1957-nucleotide long non-coding RNA is filed under the name Homo sapiens (human). Its description in RNAcentral is "HSALNT0094030". The record is from RNAcentral. Lineage: Eukaryota; Metazoa; Chordata; Mammalia; Primates; Hominidae.
CAGUUACGCAGCAAUUUACUAGCCUAUGGGAAGCAUACUGACGUAGUUAAACAGUAUUGGCUGAACUCUUAUGUAAGAUGUUGAGUUAAUCCUUAUUAUAAGAAAUUGUGUCAAAGGUGAGAUUUUCUGAAAGUCUAGAGCAGGGGUCACAAACUCAAAGGCCUUUAGGAACCGGAAAGCAUUCAUCCUGCAAUUUUUUAAAACAGUGAAGUGUAGCAAGGCCAGGCCAAAUUCAGAAGAGGUGACUGAAAUGAUGCUGCCCGAUCAAAAAAUCGUUUGGUCUUCAGAAUUGAGCUCAUAGGAUCUUUUAACACGUGAGUCAGGUCAUAAACAUGCAAUUUAUAGCUGAAGAAAUGCAUGUGGCUAAUAACAAAUGAAAAAAUAUUCUCCACUAGUAAUAAAAAACAAAGGAGGAGACCCAACUGGGUAACAAACUGGCAAGGAGUUUUUGAAAGGUCACCACAUUUGGGGUGAUGGUGGUAGGCUUAACAUGCUUGUGUGCAUUGCUGGGAAUGCUUCUGGGAGGUAGGUAUUACACUGAUUUUGCAGAGGAAGAACUGAGGCUCAGAGUGCCUAUCGAACUGGUCUCAUGUCCCACAGUUUGUGACACUCAAACACAGAUAUAGAGGCUUACCAACUCCUCCACAGCCACAGUGAGCAAUUAACCCAGACAGGAAAGACAUCAUUUUGAGAUUUUUGGUAAAUUAGAGUUAGAAUGGGACCUCUGCCCAAAGCACCUGUGAAAACUCUAUAGCGUGAGGUAGGGUUUGGUGACUGGGCUGGGCCAUCACGAGAACUGCAGAGCCCUGGGCAGUUUAUCUGAGAUACCGUGUUUCAGUGUUUCUUGUUAGAUUUUCAGAAAUGGAAGAUGAGGAGCAGAGGGAAUUUAUUCAUUGUGUAAUUUCUAUAUGCCUGGCAUUUUACAUAUAGAAACUUACUCAAUCCUCUUAGCAAUGCUAGGAAACAGAAUUUUUUUUUUUUUUUUUUUUACCAUUUCGGAAUUAAGAAAACUGAAACUUGAGAAACUGUCUCUUUUCCUAGUCAACACAUUCAGUUAAAUGGCAGCAGAGUUGGGAUUCAAAUGCAGGUUUGUAGAAUCCAAAGCCCAGUCUGAAAGGAAACUAGAGAUCCUAAUCUUCCCACCCAUUUAUAUUUUAUGUUAUGUUUUCAGUUCCCAUCAUGCCUCACAGACAGUGUUUUUCUUCACAGUGUUUAUGUGUACCCUUCACAUGUCUUUCUGAAGACAUUCUAUUUAUUGCCCUAGCUCUGGGCUAAGCCUAACAACCCUUCAAUACAAUUAUUUAUUCUUUGAAGAUAGGAUUAUUUGAGGGAUUUUAAAGCAAUUAUAGUCAGAAUAAUAGAGGAAUUUUUAAACAAAUUAAAUAUCUCUACAUAUACUUGUUACUCUGCUAGCAGUUGUACAAAAUUUAAAGUAAAAAGCAAAGCAAAACCUAAAAAACCAAAAAGCUAACCCAUAGUGCCUGCUUACAAGGAGCUCAUAAAACCUAACCCAAACCCAAACCUACCUUUCUAGGUUAAAAGGAACCUAAAACCAAAAUGUAGAGAGUUGACAUGGCAAGUGUGACUUCAUGCAAAUAUCUUAUAAUCCUAGUUUUCCUGAGCUGAAAUGGCAAAUACUGAGUUCUCCCGAACACAUAGAGUCUUAGAUUGCAACUGUAUCUUUCAAGCCACUCCUAGCAUUGCUCACUGCUGUCUCCACUUGAAUUCCCCUUUCAGCUUGAGUGACAUGACAAACCUCAAACUUCCAGUUUUGUGCAAUACACCUAUAAGCAAAAUGUACUUGUAUCAGGGGUUUCUGAGGACAUUACAGUAUGUGGGAUAAUUCUUGCUUUUACUCAAGACCCUGAUGAUAAACAAGGAAAACUCCCCCAGUGGGCAAUCAAAGACAUUCUCCAUGUGGAGACACUCUGUCCUUAAGAUACCAAAAAGGCCUUUU